RNAcentral lists this long non-coding RNA (12171 nucleotides) under Homo sapiens (human). Its description in RNAcentral is "HSALNT0257909". The record is from RNAcentral. Lineage: Eukaryota; Metazoa; Chordata; Mammalia; Primates; Hominidae.
GAAUUAGAUACGCCACUGGCUGAAUCAUGCCUUAUGAAACAUAAUUACAUACAGCCCAAACCUAAUGUGAUUUGCAUUUUCUGAUCUUUUCCUUAGACACAGUCAUUGAAAUUAAUGAGGAGGAACCUAGUAGUCUUAGUGAAGUAAACCUUAUGCAUUAUUAAGAAUCUCUCAUCCCUGUUUAUUGAGGAGCCAUUGGCAGACUGAUAUUGUAGAAAAUAAAGAGAGGCUUCAGCCCGUUGGAGAGGGAGUAUAGGAAAUCAGCUCUCUCUUUUAAUGCUGCUUUGUGGAAGUGUUUGGGAGAAAAAAAAAUAACAGAUACUUGACUGUUAUAACUUACUAACUAUAGUAAAGAUAGUUACUUCUAGGGAGAAGAACUUAGGUGGUUUCCACUGGAUUAAAAAACAACCUUAUUUCUCUGCUUUCCUCCAAAUCCCCACAUAACAACAAAAACCUAACUUGUGAAAGAUCUUAAGCUCUUACUGUUUUUAAGUAGAACUUGGAUUUUCAGAUAUUUUUUAAGUUCGUAAAGCUGUUUCUUCUGACAAUAAUAGAGAUAAAUAGAGCAUUCAUACUCAAAUCCUUGUUGGUUUGGAAUUUCAAGCAAGGAUGUGAAGACAGAAGCACUCUACGAGCACUGGAAGUAUCUGGGAUACUUGUGCCUGCUUAUCGUUUUUGUUUUUUUAGGUUUCUUUCAAAAUGAAGAUUCACGCAGUGAUUGUAACUGUCUUGAUGAGCCAGGUUGUAGUUUACAAAGUUUUAUUCCAGAAGGAAAAAAGCCACUUCACCUAGAAAUUUUGCAAACAAAUCAACUUUUACUCUGUGAGUAAUCCAGGGCCUAUCAAGACUACAUUUUAGUUGACUGCAAGGCCUCUGAGGCACGGGAAUUCACAGCUGAGUUCUUGGAGAAGGUCCUUGAGCCAUCUGGAUGGCGGACAGUCUGGCACAUGAUGUGCUCAAGGUGCUGCUUGAGGCCACAGAUGUGGACAUUUCAGCCUUGAAGGCAGUGGUGCAGCUUGCUGAGCCAUACCUCUGUGAAUCUUGAGCGAGUACUUUCACCUUGGAGUGUGUGAAAGAGCUCCUCGAGCUGAAGGAACAUCAGUUGCCCCUGAAGGAGCUGGGUGGUGUUUGAUGAUUCUGGAGACAGCACUUGUAACUUGUAACUGAGCAUGUCAGCUAGGAAGGAGGUAUCUGGUCAGAGAAGGUGUUUUCUGAGGCUGCUUCCUGGAUCCCUAGGGUUUGUGUUCCUGCCAUUCAGCCUAUUUGGCAGUUAUUUCCACCUGUACAAACAGACCCUUUGUCCCUUACAUGAGAAAGAAAGCCCACACCUGGAUUCAUAUUAAUAGGGUGCUGGCAUAGAAAUAUAUCCUGGGAGUAAGUUUGGGUUCCCUGCGUGAGAAUGGACCCGCUGUUGCAAGGAAGGGCUCCUCAUUAAGCUGAGCAUUGGCCGAGACACUUGCUUUCUAAAGGAUAGCCACUGAGCAAGCCUGUAAGGCUAUUGGUCUGCCCAUUCUGGUUUCUUCACCAAUGAGAAAACUGGGACCUGGGGAGUUUGCAGAAGCCAUCCAAGGGCACCUGCUUCUCACAGCACAGCAGCUUCCUGCAGCCCUCCCUCCUGUCUUGUUUCUCCCUUAAUUGAGAGGAGAGGCCAGAACCAGAUGCAGGCAGUUCCAACAGUAAUGAAUUGCUCUAAGGUGUGGAUCCAAGAACCGGUGACAAGGUCAGGAAAUUCCAUCCCGGGACACUGACCCAACUAAGAGACUGUGCAUGAUGGCUAAGUUCAGAGCUCUGAGGAGAUGGUAAAACUCAUUUGCAACGAAACAAGAUAUUUUCCAACUCUGCAGCCAGGUGCAGAAAGCUGGAAGUGAUGCUCCAGGGAGUUUAUGUCUCCCCAUCUUGACCCACACCAAUACCUGAGGCUCGUUGCUUUGAUUCAAGUCCGGACAAGCUCUAAGGUUCAGCUCACACUGGGAGUCACGCUGCAGGAGCUCCUGGGAGUCUGUGAACGGUGGUGAUGCAGAAAAGCAAAGCGUGUAUAUCUGUUUUAGUCCUCCCUCAGAUCUGCUGAGGACACCUUGAGCCUGAAGUGAAAUCACAGUGGCUCUCAGGAAGAAGGGUGACUGUCUGGUGUGCAGUUGUGCUGCCACGGCAAAGGGAACUUUAAAACAUAGAACUGCCAUGUAGAAGCUCAGGAAAUAUCCAUGAAUCAAAAAAAAUGGAAGACGAGAAAAGGCAGUGAAGACUGACAGCCUGUUGGUUGCUAUUCCAGUCGUGUCUGCUCCAUACGCGCCCUCCAUCUCAUCCCACCCAGUCAGUAUAUUUUCACCAGGCAGUGUUGCAGAAAUGUCUGUGGACUCCAGUUCUAUUGCAGUCAGGCAGCAUUUACAGGUUUGACUUUCAACUGACCAUGGCAGGAAGUCUAGAGGCAAUUAUAGCCAACACCUGCUCUAUGUGCGUGCCGGGCAGGUGGUGGCUGAUUCCUUGCCUCCAAUCCAUGAUGUGUUUCCUAUCAGCUCAGAAUAAUAACAGUGACACCUCUGCUUCUUCUCUGUCUGGGGGAGCUCAAGGCACUUUACUCUGAAAACCCUCAAAUUACUGGCAUUUCUUUUAGUGAAGAUAUCAAAUUAAUGACUGAAAAAAAUGUAGAAGAUGGUUAUUGGUGAUGUUAAAAGACAAGUUUAACCCACUUCCACACAACAUGUCUUACAAGCGUAAAGUAUUUGAGUAGAGAAAACUAUGAAUCUAAAAUUGAACAAGAUGUGAAUUUAGACAGACAGCGUUUGUGGUCACAGAUGUGCCGAGAUGAAGACUGGAGGAAGGGCACAGUUUCUGUAGCAGUGACUUCCACCCAGGGUGUGUCUUGCUAUUGUGUGAAAUGAUUUUUGACACUGGACAAAUCUCUACUUCCACUUACAAUGUUUUGCCAGCUAGCUGAGGCAUUCUGGGAGGGUGAGGAGCCUGGGCUUGGGCUGACCUCAGGAAAUCCUGUGUAAAGGGCUUUUGCACACUCAGAAGCAGGCCAGGUUCACCGCUGUUAUGUGCAAUAUUCACUCCUGGCUCUUGCUUCUGAGCCUUGGCAAACCUGAGUCCUAAGAGGCCAAUGAAAAGGAAAACACGUUAAGGAGCCAGGGCGCUUCUUGGAUAUCAGCCUGAAUAGUUCUGUUUCAUCUGGACCCCAAUUUUACUCUCCUGCUGUUUUACACGGAACUAAAAAGAGCUUUACAGAGGACCAGAUAGACUGCAGGUCCCUAGGCAGUCAGGGGCCAGGCAAGGCAUAGGAGGGUGUCAGGCCUCUGAGCUCAAACUAGGCCAUCAUAUCCCCUGUGACCUGCACGUACACAUCCAGAUGGCUGGUUCCUGCCUUAACUGAUGGCAUUGUCUUGUGAAAUUCCUUCUCCUGGCUCAUCCUGGCUCAAGAGCUCCCCUACUGAGCACGUUGUGACCCCCACUCCUGCCUGCCAGAGAACAACCCCCCUUUGACUGUAAUUUUCCUUUACCUACCCAAAUCCUAUAAAAUGGCCCCACCCCUAUCUCCCUUCACUAACUCUCUUUUCGGACUCAGCCUGCCUGCACCCAGGUGAAAUAAACAGCCUUGUUGCUCACACAAAGCCUGUUUGGUGGUCUCUUCACAGGGACUCGCAUGAAAUUUGGUGCUGUGGCUCGGAUAGGGGGACCUCCCUCGGGAGAUCAAUCCCCUGUCCUCCUGCUCUUUGCUCCAUGAGAAAGAUCCACCUACGACCUCAGGUCCUCAGACCAAGCAGCCCAAGAAACAUCUCACCAAUUUCAAAUCUGGAAAGCAGCCUCUUUUUACUCUCUUCUCCAACCUCCCUCAAUAUCCCUCAACCUCUUUCUCUUUUCAAUCUUGGUGCCACACUUCAAUCUCUCCCUUCUCUUAAUUUCAAUUCGUUUCAUUUUCUGGUAGAGACAAAGGAGACACGUUUUAUCUGUGGACCCAAAACUCCGGCGCCGGUCACGGCCUGGGAAGGCAGCCUUCCCUUGGUGUUAAUCAUUGCAGGGAUGCCUCUCUGAUUAUUCACCCACGUUUCAGAGGUGUCGGACCACACAGGGACGCCUGCCUUGGUCCUUCACCCUUAGUGGCAAGUCCUGCUUUUCUGGGGGAGGGGCAAGAACCCCAACCCCUUCUCUCCAUGUCUCUACCUCUUCUCUGCUUUUCUGGGGGAGGGGCAAGAACCCCUCAACCCCUUCUCCUUCACCCUUAAUGGCAAGUCCCACUUUUCUGGGGGAGGGGCAAGAACCCCUCAACAUCUUGUCCUUCACUGUUAGCAGCAAGUCUCACUUUUCUGGGGGAGGGGCAAGAACCCCUCAAACCCUUGUCCUUCACCGUCAGCAGCAAGUCCCGCUUUUCUGGGAGAGGGGCAAGAACCUCUCAACCCCUUCUCCUUCACCCUUAGAGGCAAGUCCCGCUUUUCUGGGGGAGAGGCAAGAACCCCUUAUUUCCACAGCCCGACCUCUUAUCUCUGUGCCCUGAUCCCUUAUUUCUGUGCCCUGACCUCUUAUCUCUGCACCCCAACCCCUUAUUUCUGCACCCCCACCUCUUUCCCACUUUUCUGGAGGGUAAGAACCCCCGAACCCCUUCCCUCCAUGUCUCUACUCUCUCUUUUCUCUAGCCUUGCUUCCUUCACUAUGGGCAACCUUCCACCCUCCAUUCCUCCUUCUUCUCCCUUAGCCUGUGUUCUCAAGAACUUAAAACCUCUUCAACUCACACCUGACCUAAAACCUAAAUGCCUUAUUUUCUUCUGCAAUGCCGCUUGAUCCCAAUACAAACUUGGCAGUAGUUCCGAAUAGCCGGAAAACAGCACUUUCAAUUUUUCCAUCCUACAAGAUCUAAAUAAUUCUUGUCGUAAAAUAGGCAAACAGUCUGAGGUGCUGACGUCCAGGCAUUCUUUUACACAUUGGUCCCUCCCUAGUCUCUGUUCCCAAUGCAACUCGUCCCAAAUCUUCCUUCUUUCCCUCCCACCUGUCCCCUCAGUCCCAACCCCAAGUGUCGCUGAGUCUUUCUAAUCUUCCUUUUCUACAGACCCAUCUGACCUCUCCCCUCCUCUCCAGGCUGAGCUAGGUCCCAAUUCCUCCUCAGCUUCCGCUCCUCCACCCUGUAAUCCUUUUAUCACCUCGCCUCCUCACACCCAGUCCGGCUUACAGUUUCGUUCCUUGACUAGCCCUCCCCCACCUGCCCAGCAAUUUACUCUUAAAAAGGUGGAUGGAGCUAAAAGCAUAGUCAAGGUUAAUGCUCCUUUUUCUUUAUCCCAAAUCAGACAGCGUUUAGGCUCUUUUUCAUCAAAUAUAAAAAUCCAGCCCAGUUCAUGGCUCGUUUGGCAGCAACCCUGAAAUGCUUUACAGCCCUAGACCCUAAAAGGUCAAAAGGCCAUCUUAUUCUCAAUAUACAUUUUAUUACCCAAUCUGCUCCCGACAUUAAAUAAAACUUCAAAGAUUAAAUUCCAGCCCUCAAACCCCACAACAGGAUUUAAUUAACCUUGCCUUCAAGGUGUACAAUAAUAGAGUAGAGGCAGCCAAGUAGUAACAUAUUUCUGAGUUGCAAUUCCUUGUCUCCACCAUGAGACAAACCCCAGCCACAUCUCCAGCACACAAGAAUUUCCAAAUGCCUAAACCGCAGUGGCCAGGCAUUCCUCCAGCACCACCUCCCCCAGAAGCUUGCUACAAGUGCCAGAAAUCUGGCCACCAGGCCAAGGAAUGCCCGCAGCCCGGGAUUCCUCCUAAGCCAUGUCCCAUCUGUGGGGGACCCCACUGGAAAUCGGACUGUUCAACUCACCUGGCAGCCACUCCCAGAGCCCCUGGAACUCUGGCCCAAGGCUGUCUGACUGACUUCUUCCCAGAUCUUCUCGGCUUAGUGGCUGAAGACUGACAUGCCCGAUCGCCUCAGAAGCCCGAUAGACCAUCAUGGAUGCCGAGCUUUAGGUAACUCUCACAGUGGAGGGGAGAAACGCGAAUGGAUGCGAGGUGGUGCAAAAUCCACAAAGGAGCUCCAGGGGACGUGGCAGGAUCCCUCUGCUAUGACUGUGCUGCAUAAGAGUCUGAGCCCACGCCAACCUAGAGUGAUUCUAAAGACCAUUUCCACAUGGAGAAGCUGCCAGAACAAGCACUGCUACCCUUGGAGGCCAUUGACAUUGUGAGGUCGCUGGGACUGAAAGGAGGUUGACCAGAAGUUCUGUUUGGCAAUGCAAAGCCAGGAGGAAAAGUUAAUGGAGUUUGUCCCCCGGGUCCCAAGAAAGCUGACCCAGGACGAUGAAGCUAGAAUUUGUGUUCUAGGAGGUGCUGCUUCUUCCAGGAAAGUCUACUCAAAGCACACACUGUGAGCUGCUGCAUGUCUCUUGAGCUAGUUCACUGCAGUUUUCAUGAUGAAAGUGAUCUGUUUCAGUAAACUUUCUGUUAUUUGAGAGCAUGGGAAAAAUAUUUGCUGUGAUUUCCCAAUUCCCCAUUUUUUCUGAUUCUUUGUUGCAGUUUCCACAACUUUGUUAUCAGGCUGUGACAGAGGUUUGUGAACUGAUGAAAGCUCCAGAGCCUCCCAGGCCCUCUGAGUCUGAUGCCUGCACUCCACAAUCAGGCCUCAAGCUCAGGGCGCCUGCCACCAACCCACGCUGGGCUUCAGGGGCAGGCAGCACUUGAAUGGGGUUUGGUUAUUGUCUUUCUUUAUUUUCUCUUAUUUUAAGCCUUAAAAAAAAAAAGAUAAGGUCUUGCUCUAUUGCCCAGGCUGGAGAGAAAUGGUGUGAUCAUAGCUCACUGCAGCUUUGAAUUCCUGGGUUCAACCGAUCCUCCCACCUAAGCCUCCCGAGUAACCAGGACUGCAAGUAUGCACCACCACACCCAGUUAAUUAAAUUUGUGUGUGUGUGUGUGUGUAGAGGUGGGUUCUUGCUUUGUUGCCCAGGCUGGUCUUGAACUCUUGAGUUCAGACAAUCCUGCCACCUCAACCUCACAAAGUGCUGGAAUUACAGGCGUGAGCCACUGCACUCAGCCUCCUUAAGCCAUUUGCUUAAGUGGCUUUAUUGCAAAACAAUAUCAGAAUAACAAAGAAAUAUAAGGUCAAACUUUCCCUGUUCCCAUCUAGUCCAAUAAGCAUUGCUGCUCUUGCCAGGGAUUCUCGCCCAUCUCCAUGUGCCAGUGCAAUCCAUACUGGUUGUUCUCCUUGGCUACCCCACAUCUGAGUCUCUGCCUUGUCUGCAUUCUUCCCCACUUUAUGAAGAGAUGAGUCAGUGCCUGAUUUUUUCUGCCUCUCUUGUCACUAGGGCACAGCCAUGUGCAUGGGCCCUGUCACUCAGAAGCCCCCAUCCACCAACAACAUGGCUCUGGGGGCCUCCUCUCUCUGGAAGAAUUGGCAGUUUUAGCAAGAAAGGUUUUCAGAGGCAGCAAUGAUGGUGGAGAUGUCCAGGGCCAGUGGCAGGUCAAACCAUUCUCUGUGUCAUUUGGGGCAGUGUUUAUGCUGUCCCUCAUUUUGGUUCCCUAAGCCUCCGAACAUGUACGUGAAUUUCCGAAUAUUCUCAAUUAAAUUGUUUUUCUGUUGAAAUUGGCCUGGUUGCUUUCAACUAUGACAAACCUAGCUAUAUAAGUAUUAUUUUGUAGUGUUGGGAUUGAUAGAACUUUAUGUUCUACACAUUAGCAGAAUACCAUGUGUAUUUUUCCAUUUGACAUAAUCUUUUAUCUUUCCAUUGAUAAGUAUUAUUACUAUUUAGUGAUAUAUUAUUUGAGUUCUCUUGCCCCUUUUGGGUAGCCCAUGUUAACAGUAAUACCCAGCUGCUACACUGAGAGCCUCUGAGACUUACUGGCUUCAGGGGAGACAGCACAUUAUCAGCUGUGGUGGCCAUGGCCGAGACUCCUUUUGCCUGAGAAAAGCAGAGGAAAAUGUAGAAGGGACUUCGUCUUGCAUCUGAGACACCAGCACAGCCACAGGGUGGUAGAGCACCAAGGGGGCUUUUGGAAUCUUUGAUUCUGGGAUGUGGCUCUUGGAAGGCAUUUCUGGACUUGCCCUGGGCCAGGGGGAGCCCACUGUCUUAAAGGGUGAGUCCCAGGCCAGGCAGCAUUUGCCACAGUCGACUGAAGAGCCCUGGGGGCCUUCAAGGGACAUAGAAGGUAAUCUGAAAGUACUCCGCAUAGGCCUGUGGGGUGGUGGCCAUGGGGCAAGGCUGCCCUGCCUCUGGAAAGGGUAGGAGAGAGUGAGAAAGACUGCAUCCUGUUGUCCGAGUGCCAGCUCAGCCACAGUACAAUAGAACACCAGCUAGGCUCCCAGCCAGCACCUCUGGACCAGCCUGGAAACUGGGGGUAACUCAUCGCCCUGAAGGGAAGGACAAAGGCCUGGCUGGCUUUGCCGUCUGCUGAUUGUUGAGCCCUAGGCGGGGAGCGGUUACAGUCGGCCUUGGGUGAGACUCAGAGCUGCACUGGCUUCAGGUCUGACUCAGCACAGUCACAGUGAUGGUGGCCACAGGGGUGCUUAUGUCACUCUAUCCCAGCUUUAGGUGGCUCAGAACAGACACACUCCAUUUCUUUGGGAGAAAGUAAGAAAGAGAACAAGAGUCUCUCUGAUAAUCCAGAGAGUUCUCCCAGAUCUUGUCCAAGAUCAUCAAGGCAAUACCACUGAGUCUGCAAAAACUGCAGUGUUACUGGGCUUGGGGUGCCCCCUAAAACAGAUACAACUUAGAUCACAACACCCAUGGCCUUUUAAAUAUGUGAAAAGCCUUCCCAAGAAGGACGGGUACAAACAAGCCCAGAUAGCAAAGGCUACAAUAAAUACCUAACUCUUCAAUUCCAGACACAAAUGGACACCUACAAGUAUCAAGACAUUCCAGGAAAAAAAUGACCUCACCAAAUGAACUAAAUAAAGCAUCAGGGACCCAUCCUGAAGAAACAGAUACGUGACCUUUUAGACAGAGAAUACAAAAUAGCCACUCUGAGGAAACUCAAAGAAAUUCAAGAUAACACAGAGAAGGAAUUCAGAAUUCUAUCAGAUAAAUUUAACAAAGAGAUUGAAAUCAUUCAAAAUGAUCAAACAGAUACUGUGGAGAUAAAAAAUGGAAUUGGCAUACUAAAGAAUGCAUCAGAGUCUUAAUAAUAGAAUUAAUCAAGUAGAAGAAAGAAUUAGCUUGAAGACAGGCUAUUUCAAAAUACACAGUUAGAGGACUCAAAAGAAAAUAGAAUAAAAAAUAAUGAAGCAUGUCAAAGAAUCUAGAAAAUAGCCUCAAAAGGACAAAUCUAAGAGUUAUUGGCCUUAAAGGGGAGACAAAGAAAGAGAUAAGGGUAGAAUGUUUAUUCAAAGGGAUAAUAACAGAGACUUUUCGAAACCCGGAUAAUAAUAUCAAUAUCCAAGUACAAGAAAACAGAACACCAAGCAGAUUAAAUCCAAAGAAGACUGCCUCAAGGCAUUUAAUAAUCAAAUUCUAAAGAUCAAGGGUAAAGAAAGGAUCCUAAAAGUAACAAGGGAGAAGAAACAGAUAACAUACAAUGGAUCUCCAGUAUGUCUUGCAGUGGACUUUUCAGUGGAAACCUUAAAGUCCAGGAGAGAGUGGCACAACACAUUUAAAGUGCUGAAAGAAAGAAACUUUUACCCUAGAAUAGUAUAUCCAGCAAAAAUAUUCUUCUAACAUGAAGAAAAAAUAAAGACUUUCCCAGGCAAACAAAAGCUGAGGGAUUUUAUCAGCACUAGACCUGUCUUAUGAGAAAUGCCAAAGGGAGUACUUCAAUCAGAAAGAAAAGGAUGUUAGUAAGUAAUCAUGCGAAAGUACAAAAUUCAUGGGUAAUAGUAAGCACACAGAAAAACACAGAAUUUUAUAUCCCUGUAACUGUGAUGUGUAAACUACUAUUAUUCUAAGUAGAAAAACUAAAUGAUGAACCAAUCAAAAAUAAUAACUAUAACAAUUUUUCAAGCCAUAGACAGUACUAUAAGAUAUAAAUAGAAACAACAAAAAGUUUAAAAUCAGGACAAAGUUAAGACGUAGAGUUUUUAUUAGUUUCCUUUUUUUUUGCUUCUUUGUUUCUUUGUUUAUGCAAACAAUGUUAAGUUGUUAUCAGCUUAAAGUAACAGGUCAUAAAGAAGCCAGUCAUGGUGUCUCACACUUGUAAUGCCAGCACUUUGAGAGUCCAAGGUGGGUGGAUCACUUGAGGUCAGAAGUUUGAGACCAGCCUGGCCAAUAUGGCGAAACCCCAUCGCUACUAAAAAUACAAAAAUUAGCCAGGUAUGGUGGCACAUGCCUGUAAUCCCAGCUACUCAGGAGGCUGAGGCAUGAGAACCCAGAAUGUGGAGGUUGAAGUAAGCCAAGAUCACACCACUGUACUCCAGCUUGGAUGACAGAGCAAGACUCUGUUUCAGAAGGAAAAAAAAAAGUCAUAAGAUAGUAUUUGCAAGCCUCAUAGUGACCUCAAACCAUAAAAACAUACAAUGAAUACACAAAAAGUAAAAAGCUAGAAACUAAAUCAUAUUACUAGAGAAAAAUCACUUUCACUAAAGGAAGGAAAGAAAGAAGGCAGAGAACAUCACAGAACAACUAGAAAACAAGUUAACACAAUGGCGGGAGUAAGUUCUUACUUAUCAAUAUUAACAUUGAUUGUAAAUAAGAACACCAAUAAAAUGAAAGAUUACAUCAAGUUAAAAAGUUAAAAAGCUUCUGCACAGCAAAGGAAACAGUCAAUAAAGUGGUAACCCCGCAGAGUGGGCAAAAAAUAUUUGCAAACUACCCAUGUGACAAGGGAUUAAUAACCAGAAUAUAUAAGGAGCUCAAACAACUCUAGAGAAAAACAAAUCUAAUAAUCUGAUCAAAAAAUAGGCAAGAUAUUUGAAUAGACAUUUCUCAAAAAAGACAUACAAAUGGCAAACAGUCAUAUGAAAAGGUGCUCAACAUCAUUGAUCAUCAGAACAAUGCAAAUAAAAACUACAAUGAAAUGUCAUCUCAUCCCUGUUAAAAUCGAUUGUAUCCAAAAGACAGGCAAAAACAAAUGCUGGUGAAAUGUGGAGAAAAGGGAACCCUCAUACACUGUUGGUGGGAAUGUAAGUUAGCCCAACCACUAUGAAUAGUGGUUUGAAGGUUCCUCAAAAAGCUAAAUAUGGAGCUACCAUAUGGUUCAGCCAUCCCACUGCUGGGUAUAGACCCAAAAGAAAGGAAAUCAGUAUAUUGAAGAGAUGUCUGCACUCCCGUGUUUGUUUCAGCACUGUUCACAGUAGCAAAGAUUUUGAAACAACCCAAGUGUCCCUCAAUAGAUGAAUAGAUAAACGAAAUGUGGUGCUUUUACACAAUGGAGUACUGUUCAGCCAUAAAAAUGAAUGAGAUCCUGUUCUUUACAACAACAUGGGUGGAAAUGAAGAUCAUUAUAUUAAGUGAUAUAAGCCAGACACAGAAAGACAAACAUUACAUCUUCUCAUGUACUUAUGGGAUCUGAAGAUCAAAAUAAUUGAACUCCAUGGACAUAGAGAGUAGAAGAAUGGUUACCAUAGGCUGGGAUUAGUAGUGGGACAGGUGGGGCAGGGGGCAGGUUAGGACAGGUAAUAGGUACAAAAAUAAUAGGAAGAAUGAAUAAGACCUACUAUUUGUUAGCAUAAAAUGGUACUUGUAAUCAAUUACACUUAAUUAUAUGUUUUAAAAUAACUCAAAGAGUAUAAUUGGAUUCUUUGUAACACAAAGAAUAAAUGUUUGAGGAGAUGGAUACCCUAUUCAGCAUGAUGUGUUAUUAUGCAUUGCAGGCCUGUAUCAAAGCAUUUCAAGUACGCUAUAGAUAUAUACACCUACUAUGUACUCACAAAAAUUAACAAAUUAAAAAAUUAAAGAAAACAGAGUGAGAAUGGGAUGGUGAGCAGGUGGUAUAAGGUAUAUGAUAUUGGUGUUCAGACUGUUAUCCAAAACCCUAAGAAUAGGCCAGGUGCGGUGGCUCACACCUGUAAUCCCAGCACUUUGCGAGGCUGAGGCGGGUAGAUCAUGUGGUGAGGAGUUCAAGACCAGCCUGGCCAAGAUGGUAAAACCCUGUCUCUAGUAAAAAUACAAAAAUUAGCCAGGCAUGGUGGUGGGCGCCUGUAAUCCCAGCUACUUAGGAGGCUGAGGCAGAGAAUUGCUUGAACCCAGGAGGCAGAGGUUGCAGUGAGCUGAGAUCAUGCCACUGCACUCCAGCCUGGGCAACAGAGCGAGACUCUGUCUCAAAAAAAAAAGGCAAAAAAAACAAAA